UACGUAUGGUGCAAGCGUUAUCCGGAUUUACUGGGCGUAAAGGGAGCGCAGGCGGCGCGCCAAGUCUGAUGUGAAAGCCCGCGGCCCAACCGCGGGACUGCAUUGGGAACUACCGGGCUGGAGUGCCGGAGAGGUAGGCGGAAUUCCUAGUGUAGCGGUGAAAUGCGUAGAUAUUAGGAGGAACACCAGUGGCGAGGGCGGUCUGCUGGACAGCAACUGACGCUGAGGCGCGAAAGCGUGGGGAGCAAACAGG
This 253-nucleotide ribosomal RNA is filed under the name uncultured bacterium. RNAcentral describes it as "partial 16S ribosomal RNA". It matches the Rfam family "Bacterial small subunit ribosomal RNA", at positions 524 to 776 of the family's 1533-position model. The record is from RNAcentral.